This 274-nucleotide long non-coding RNA is filed under the name Ananas comosus (pineapple). RNAcentral's name for it is "long non-coding RNA (ACOM_LNC000629)". The record is from RNAcentral. Lineage: Eukaryota; Viridiplantae; Streptophyta; Magnoliopsida; Poales; Bromeliaceae.
AUGAGGAUUACUGGUGGGUGAACGCCCCAGAACAUUCAUUCAGUGUUCACAAUGAGUGUUUGGCGUGUCCAGUGCAAAUAGGCGAUUGGAUUAUGCCGAUUGAUCUGCUAGUGCUAGAUCAGAUGUGGGGAUUUGAUGUUAUCUUGGGGACCAACUGGCUCUCCAAGUACUAUGCGGUGAUAGAUUGUGAAAGCAAGGUGAUCACUUUUCGUGAACCUAAUCAAGAAGAGUUAGUCUACCAAGCGUGCAAAAAUAGGCGCUUCGCGGCGACUAU